This 496-nucleotide ribosomal RNA is filed under the name uncultured bacterium. Its description in RNAcentral is "partial 16S ribosomal RNA". It matches the Rfam family "Bacterial small subunit ribosomal RNA", at positions 28 to 506 of the family's 1533-position model. The record is from RNAcentral.
GAUGAACGCUGGCGGCGUGCCUAAUACAUGCAAGUCGAGCGAACAGACGAGGAGCUUGCUCCUCUGACGUUAGCGGCGGACGGGUGAGUAACACGUGGAUAACCUACCUAUAAGACUGGGAUAACUUCGGGAAACCGGAGCUAAUACCGGAUAAUAUAUUGAACCGCAUGGUUCAAUAGUGAAAGACGGUUUUGCUGUCACUUAUAGAUGGAUCCGCGCCGCAUUAGCUAGUUGGUAAGGUAACGGCUUACCAAGGCAACGAUGCGUAGCCGACCUGAGAGGGGGAACGGCCAAACGGGAACUGAGACACGGCACAAAACCUCAGGGGGGGCAGGAGGAGGGAAUUUUCCGCAAGGGGCGAAAGCCGGACGGAGCAACGCGGGGGGGGUGAGGAAGGUCUUCGGAUCGUAAAACUCUGUUAUUAGGGAAAAAAAAAUGUGUAAGUAACUAUGCACGUCUUGACGGUACCAAAGCAGAAAGCCACGGCAAAAUAAGU